Molecule: long non-coding RNA, 434 nt
Filed under: Bos taurus (domestic cattle)
Lineage: Eukaryota; Metazoa; Chordata; Mammalia; Artiodactyla; Bovidae
Description: long non-coding RNA NONBTAT019564
Source: RNAcentral
UUUUUCUGGCUCUAAGCUUAACAGACAAACAAAAAACUCUAAGAUAUUUAAUGUGUACAUCUUGGUAAUUAAGACAAUUUGUUACACAGUAAUAAAUAAAACAAAGAGGAAGGAAAACAAGUCUCUCAACAAAGUGUGACUAACACUUUGCUAUCAAAACUACCGGUGAAAACUCAACUAUACUUCAAUUAAAAAAAACAAUUAACAGUAAAGAGUGUAGGCUCUGCAGGUCACCUGUCAAAAGAAGCUUUGUGACCUGGACUAAGAGCAAUUUCUCAGGCUCACUUGGCCAUCUGUAACAUGAUACAUAAUCCCCUUUACUAGCAGCUUUCUCUAGAUUUUUUAAAAAGUUACCAAUUCUCAGCAGGGAACACCUCCAUUACUCUCCUAAGUUGUCCAACAGCCUGUUUCACUGGUCUUCAUUUACUUCACUC